RNAcentral lists this ribosomal RNA (414 nucleotides) under Allobates femoralis group sp. ABGD cluster 9. RNAcentral describes it as "partial large subunit ribosomal RNA". It matches the Rfam family "Bacterial large subunit ribosomal RNA", at positions 1834 to 2457 of the family's 2925-position model. Lineage: Eukaryota; Metazoa; Chordata; Amphibia; Anura; Aromobatidae. The record is from RNAcentral.
CUUGAUCAAUUAUAAGAGGUCAAGCCUGCCCAGUGACAUUGUUCAACGGCCGCGGUAUCCUAACCGUGCGAAGGUAGCGUAAUCACUUGUCCUUUAAAUAAGGACCAGUAUGAACGGCUUCACGAAGGCUAUACUGUCUCCUUAAUCUAAUCAAUUAAACUAAUCUCCCCGUGAAGAAGCGGGGAUUCAUCUAUAAGACGAGAAGACCCUAUGGAGCUUUAAACAUCUAAGACACUUGAUUUUUACCUACUAAACUUCAUGCAACCUAUCCUUUUGUCUUAAGUUUUAGGUUGGGGUGACCACGGAGAAAAAUUAAACCUCCACGUAGAAAGAAAAUUCUUUUCUAAGCAAAAAGCCACAUCUUAACGCAUCAAUAUAUUGACUUAACUUGACCCAAUUUCUUGCUCAACGAAC